UCCCGGUUCGGAUCGGAGUCUGCAACUCGACUCCGUGAAGCCGGAUUCGCUAGUAAUCGCGCAUCAGCCACGGCGCGGUGAAUACGUUCCCGGGCCUUGUACACACCGCCCGUCAAGCCAUGGGAGCCGGGGGUACCUGAAGUAUGCGAACGCAAGGAGCGUCCUAGGGUAAGACUGGUGACCGGGGCUAAGUCGUAACAAGGUAGCCGUACCGGAAGGUGCGGCUGGAUUAUAUCUUUU
RNAcentral lists this ribosomal RNA (240 nucleotides) under Prevotellaceae bacterium. Its description in RNAcentral is "partial 16S ribosomal RNA". It matches the Rfam family "Bacterial small subunit ribosomal RNA", at positions 1286 to 1533 of the family's 1533-position model. The record is from RNAcentral. Lineage: Bacteria; Pseudomonadati; Bacteroidota; Bacteroidia; Bacteroidales; Prevotellaceae.